AACGGAGGGGGCAAGUGUUACUCAUAAUUAUUGGGCGUAAAGAGUGCGUAGGCGGUUACUUAAGUUAAAGAUUAAAGAUUAAUUAUUAAAAUUAAGACAGUUUUUAAUACUGAGUGACUAGAGUAUAGCAGAGGAAAAUGGAACUUUUACUGGAAAGGUGGAAUUUAUAGAUAGUAAAGGGACGACCAAAGGCGAAGGCAAUUUUCUGGGUUAUUACUGACGCUGUUGCACGAAAGCGUGGGGAGCAAACAGG
This 253-nucleotide ribosomal RNA is filed under the name uncultured bacterium. RNAcentral's name for it is "partial 16S ribosomal RNA". It matches the Rfam family "Bacterial small subunit ribosomal RNA", at positions 524 to 776 of the family's 1533-position model. The record is from RNAcentral.